GAUUAAGACAAUUAAAAUAUUCAUUAAAGGAA
Molecule: transfer RNA, 32 nt
Filed under: Anastrepha ludens (Mexican fruit fly)
Lineage: Eukaryota; Metazoa; Arthropoda; Insecta; Diptera; Tephritidae
Description: partial tRNA-Tyr
Source: RNAcentral